CUGGGCGCGGGCCGCCGGGAGAGCGGCUGCGUCCGGGACCGGGACGACGACCUCCAGGUAGCACUUGAGCUUCGGCUCGGUGCCGGACGGCCGGAC
Molecule: transfer RNA, 96 nt
Filed under: Streptomyces candidus
Lineage: Bacteria; Bacillati; Actinomycetota; Actinomycetes; Kitasatosporales; Streptomycetaceae
Description: tRNA-Val
Source: RNAcentral